CGGCGGACGGGUGAGUAACGCGUGGGUAACCUGCCUCAUACAGGGGGAUAACAGUUGGAAACGGCUGCUAAUACCGCAUAAGCGCACAGUACCGCAUGGUACGGUGUGAAAAACUCCGGUGGUAUGAGAUGGACCCGCGUCUGAUUAGGUAGUUGGUGGGGUAACGGCUCACCAAGGCGACGAUCAGUAGCCGGCUUGAGAGAGUGAACGGCCACAUUGGGACUGAGACACGGCCCAA
RNAcentral lists this ribosomal RNA (238 nucleotides) under uncultured bacterium. RNAcentral describes it as "partial 16S ribosomal RNA". It matches the Rfam family "Bacterial small subunit ribosomal RNA", at positions 96 to 334 of the family's 1533-position model. The record is from RNAcentral.